RNAcentral lists this transfer RNA (87 nucleotides) under Candidatus Falkowbacteria bacterium CG_4_10_14_0_2_um_filter_41_15. Its description in RNAcentral is "tRNA-Leu". It matches the Rfam family "tRNA". From Rfam's summary of the family: Transfer RNA (tRNA) molecules are approximately 80 nucleotides in length. Their secondary structure includes four short double-helical elements and three loops (D, anti-codon, and T loops). The record is from RNAcentral. Lineage: Bacteria; Candidatus Falkowiibacteriota. RNAcentral also lists the same sequence under 2 other names.
GCCGAAGUGGCGAAACUGGUAGACGCGCUAGAUUCAGGUUCUAGUCCCCGCAAGGGGGUGAGGGUUCGAGUCCCUCUUUCGGCACAA